RNAcentral lists this ribosomal RNA (459 nucleotides) under uncultured bacterium. RNAcentral describes it as "partial 16S ribosomal RNA". It matches the Rfam family "Bacterial small subunit ribosomal RNA", at positions 338 to 795 of the family's 1533-position model. The record is from RNAcentral.
CCUACGGGUGGCAGCAGUGAGGAAUAUUGGUCAAUGGUCGGAAGACUGAACCAGCCAAGCAGCGUGCGGGAUGAAGGUCCAGCGUAUCGUAAACCUCUUUUGUCAGGGAACAACGGCGGGGACGUGUCCCCGGAUGAGUGUACCUGAAGAAAAAGCAUCGGCUAACUCCGUGCCAGCAGCCGCGGUAAUACGGAGGAUGCGGGCGUUAUCCGGAUUUAUUGGGUUUAAAGGGUGCGCAGGCGGUCUGUUAAGUCAGCGGUAAAAGCCCGGGGCUCAACCCCGGCCCGCCGUUGAAACUGGCAGGCUCGAGUUGGAGAGAAGCAUGCGGAAUGCGCGGUGUAGCGGUGAAAUGCAUAGAUAUCGCGAAGAACUCCGAUUGCGAAGGCAGCAUGCUAGCUCCACACUGACGCUGAGGCACGAAAGCGUGGGUAUCGAACAGGAUUAGAUACCCCUGUAGUC